This 301-nucleotide ribosomal RNA is filed under the name uncultured bacterium. RNAcentral describes it as "partial 16S ribosomal RNA". It matches the Rfam family "Bacterial small subunit ribosomal RNA", at positions 509 to 807 of the family's 1533-position model. The record is from RNAcentral.
CAGCCGCCGCGGUAACACGGAGGGGGCUAGCGUUGUUCGGAAUUACUGGGCGUAAAGCGUACGUAGGCGGCUUUGUAAGUUAGAGGUGAAAGCCCGGGACUCAACCCCGGAAUUGCCUUUAAGACUGCAUCGCUUGAAUCGCGGAGAGGUGAGUGGAAUUCCGAGUGUAGAGGUGAAAUUCGUAGAUAUUCGGAAGAACACCAGUGGCGAAGGCGGCUCACUGGACCGACACUGACGCUGAGGCGCGAAAGCGUGGGGAGCAAACAGGAUUAGAUACCCGGGUAGUCCCUGUCUCUUAUAC